GUCUCUUUGUUUUUUAUAUAUAAGGAGUCGGGCCUGCUCGGUGAUAUUAUAUUUAACAGCUGCAGCGUAAUAGUUGUACUAAGGUAGCAUAAUAAUUUGCCUUAUAAAUUAAGGCUAGAAUGAAUGGUUUGACGAAAGUUGAUCUGUCUCUUAUUUAUUUAUUAGAAAUUAAUUUUUAUAGUGAAAAAGCUUUAAUUGAUUAAAGGGACGAGAAGACCCUAUUGAGCUUUUAUCAAAUGUGUAUAAAAUUAUUUUAAAAUUAUAUAAGAAAUGAUUUUGAUUGGGGUGAUCGAGGAAUAAGAUAAAGUAGUUAAUAACUUCCUUAAAAAUAAUUAAAAUAAAAUUGAUAAAUUAAUUAACCAAUAUUUUGCUUACGUGAAUAAGUUACCAUAGGGAUAACAGCGUAAUUUUUUUAGAGAGUUCUUAUUGAUAAAAAAGAUUGCGACCUCGAUGUUGGAUUAAAAUAACCUUAAGGUGAAGAAGCUUUAAUAGGUGAAUCUGUUCGAUUUUUAAAAUUUU
This 519-nucleotide ribosomal RNA is filed under the name Opisthoteuthis massyae. RNAcentral's name for it is "partial 16S ribosomal RNA". It matches the Rfam family "Bacterial large subunit ribosomal RNA", at positions 1817 to 2597 of the family's 2925-position model. The record is from RNAcentral. Lineage: Eukaryota; Metazoa; Mollusca; Cephalopoda; Octopoda; Opisthoteuthidae. RNAcentral also lists the same sequence under 1 other name.